GUGCUGGUUGGGCAGUGAGAAGAUGAAAAGGUCCGUACACUUGUCGGCGUGCACAGCGGGAGCUCCUCAGCGACUGUUAGUGGGUCUGCAUGUGACUGCCUUCGCCUCCGCUGGGUCCCAGCAGCGGGGGGGGGGGAGGCUGCGAGUGGCCCCGCCCACCUCAGGCCGGUUCCAGCCAAUCAGGUGCUAAUGUGCGGGAACAGGAGAGGGCUGCGCUGACAGAUGGCGGGCUGACCUGGAAAACCUGCCCCCUUUUCAGGGUUCAGCAGUCGACAGAUGACAGAUUGAUCAGCAACGUCUGCAGCUGCAUCCAGACAUCCAGCCGACCUAUGACAGCGACGUUCCUCCACUCACAUGAUGUUUUGAUUGUCACCCUGUCGAUCAUGGUGCCAAGAGACCCGUCAGUCAGAUGUUGAACUCCAACCUGUCAGCAGUCUGUGUGACGUAUAAAGGGAGAGGAACCUCCGUCACGUCAGCUCCGUGACAUCGCAGCGACCGCGACACCGCAGCCAACCGGCGAUGACGGAUGCCUUUUUGUCUUCUGCAGUCAGGCCGGAUCGACUGGCCUGCGGACGACUGUAAUUGCACCGACAGGUGACACAUAUGUGGAAACCAGAAGAUGAUGGGGGAGACUACUUAAAUCAUGUGACCUGCACCUCACACGCCUCCUCCGAGUACCGUAUCUAAAGUUGAGAGGAAUAUCCUGGCACAAGAAAUCAGCAGGCAAACAGGACUCGAGUGGAGAGCUCCUGUCACUCCUCCGCCUCCUCAGAGUUCAAGGUCGCCGUGCGCGGCUAUUUCCAGCUCGUCUUCACUUUGAUCCGUGUCGCAAAAUGACAAGCAAACCAUGUUGACUUUCUGAGGCAACGAAGACGCAAGAAGUCCAAAGUGCAUCGCCCCGUGAGAGACCCAUCUCCAGCAGCUCAGCCUCCGUCGUUCUUCGCCACGGGAUCUUUGGUCGGCCUCGUUUCCUUUUUCCUGGUGGUCCAUGUGAGAGGAUACCUCCAUGUUUGUCAGUGAUUUCUUCUUUCCUGUUCUUCAAACAAAACCAUUUUCUGACUUAAAAACAAGCAGCUUUUAUCCACUUUAUUAAAAGUAUUUGAUGGAAUUCUUUGAUAGCUUCAUGUUCAGCUCGGCCUCAAAUAAAG
Sebastes umbrosus (honeycomb rockfish) is the source of this 1148-nucleotide long non-coding RNA. RefSeq lists it as uncharacterized. The transcript has 9 exons. The record is from RefSeq and is a predicted model, not a curated record. Lineage: Eukaryota; Metazoa; Chordata; Actinopteri; Perciformes; Sebastidae.